UACUACCUUAAAAGAGUGGAUAGGCCAAGCACCGUUGAUAUGUGCACCCUUCAUUUCAAACUGAAACUGGUUCGCUACUAUUCACAAACUUGUUUAGUUACUGUGUCAAAUUAUCUUUCAACUACAAUUUAUUGCUUUGCUUUCUUGCAACCACUGACUCUAUUUCUCUUUCUUCUCCAAUACAAACGAAUGCAAAGCAAACCCUUGAACUUUUAGUCUGCCUCACCUUCGUUUCUCCUCCCUCACGAUAGUAAUAAUCUAUAUAGAGAUCCAAAGCUAACAGUCUGUAGCAGAUUUAGUCCUAGAAACUUCUUUGAUCUUUAAGGGUGUUUUCUUUAUUAAGCCUUCAAACAUCAAUGAUUUGGGAUAAUCCAAGCGCCAAUCAAAAGUGCCCAUCCACUCUGUAGAUAAUCAGUACGAUCACCAUUUUGAGGUCCACCUCACCAAGAAGAAGAUCUCUGCUUAUGAAUACUGAUUUUUUAAUGGAAAUUAGUGAUUAUAGUGCAUGGAGGGAUAAUUAUGUGAUAUAUGGGGUUAUGUCAGAUUGCACUCUAAGGUUGUAGGAUUUCAAGUUCAUGAGUUGUCAUGUAAAAAAGAAAUGAAGGAAAUAGGAUGACACUAAUUAUUUUGCUUUAAUACCCAAGUUUUGGUAUUGCUAAUUUGUUAUUUUCAUAUGGUAAGUUCAAUAAUUGUAGUUACUAGCUAUGCAUUUUUUGUCACACUGUGUAUGUUGAAAAUAGUUUCAAAAUGGAUUUUGAUUUUGUAAAUUACUUGAAAGUCACUGUAGACUUCAAUUGAAGCAACGAAGGUCUUUGGAUACUUCCAUCAUCCCCAACCAAGCAAAGGGUGAAAGGUGCUUUGGGGGGGGGGGGGGGGGUGCAAAAUCCCACGUGGUGUUUCGAUAUUUUAAUCUUGUCCAAACAUUCUUUAGUUAACUGUAGUGUUUACUUGUGCUCCCAACAAAACGAGGUGGAGAAAGAGCACAUAAUUUCUUGUCUUUUUUUCUUGGUUAACUUGUCAAUAUUUCUUCCAUUAUUCAUGUUCAUUAU
Molecule: long non-coding RNA, 1049 nt
Filed under: Olea europaea subsp. europaea
Lineage: Eukaryota; Viridiplantae; Streptophyta; Magnoliopsida; Lamiales; Oleaceae
Source: RNAcentral